This 1142-nucleotide ribosomal RNA is filed under the name uncultured bacterium. RNAcentral's name for it is "bacterial SSU rRNA". It matches the Rfam family "Bacterial small subunit ribosomal RNA", at positions 8 to 1155 of the family's 1533-position model. The record is from RNAcentral.
AGAGUUUGAUCCUGGCUCAGAAUGAACGCUGGCGGCGUGCCUAACACAUGCAAGUCGAACGGGAAAUCUCCUGCUUGCAGGAGAGAGUAAAGUGGCGAACGGGUGAGUAACGCGUGGGUAAUUUGCCUCCGAAUUUGGGAUAACCCGCCGAAAGGCGUGCUAAUACCGGAUAAUAUCUUGCGGCGUAGGUUGUCAAGAUCAAAGGUGGCCUCUACAAGUAAGCUACCGUUUAGAGAUAAGCCCGCGUGCCAUUAGCUUGUUGGCGGGGUAACGGCCCACCAAGGCGACGAUGGCUAGCUGGUCUGAGAGGAUGAUCAGCCACACUGGAACUGAGACACGGUUCAGACUCCUACGGGAGGCAGCAGUGAGGAAUCUUGCGCAAUGGGGGAAACCCUGACGCAGCAACGCCGCGUGAGUGAUGAAGGCUUUCGGGUCGUAAAGCUCUGUCAAGUGGGAAGAACCUGCUUGAUGCCAAUACCAUCAGGCACUGACGGUACCACUGAAGGAAGCACCGGCUAACUCCGUGCCAGCAGCCGCGGUAAGACGGAGGGUGCAAGCGUUAUUCGGAAUUACUGGGCGUAAAGGGCGCGCAGGCGGCCCCUUAAGUCAGGCGUGAAAGCCCGGGGCUAAACCCCGGAAGGGCGUUUGAAACUGAGGAGCUCGAGUACGGGAGAGGGAAGUGGAAUUCCCGGUGUAGUGGUGAAAUGCGUAGAUAUCGGGAGGAACACCAGUGGCGAAGGCGGCUCUCUGGGCCAUUCCUGACGCUAAGACGCGAAAGCUAGGGGAGAGAACGGGAUUAGAAACCCCGGUAUUCCUAGCCGUAAACGAUGUCAACUACGUGUAGGGGUAACCAACCCCCUGUGCUGUAGCUAACGCGUUAAGUUGACCGCCUGGGGACUACGGCCGCAAGGCUAAACUCAAAGGAAUUGACGGGGACCUGCACAAGCAGCGGAGCGUGUUGUUUAAUCGAGCUACGCGAAGAACCUUACCAGGGUUUGACAUGUCGUGGUAGGGAGGCGAAAGCUGACCGACCCUUCCGGGAGCGACACAAGUGCUGCAUGCUGUCGUCAGCUCGGCGUGAGUGUAGUAAGUCUGUAACGAGGCACCCUCGUCGCUAGUUACUGGUCUAGCGGAACUGCGGU